CCCCUAGAUGUUCUGGGCCGCACGCGCGCUACACUGAACAGUUCAACAAGUCUCAACCUUGGCCGAUAGGUCUGGGUAAUCUUUGAACGCUGUUCGUGAUUGGGAUAGACCUUUGCAAUUAUGGGUCUUCAACGAGGAAUUCCUAGUAAACGCAAGUCAUCAGCUUGCAUUGAUUACGUCCCUGCCCUUUGUACACACCGCCCGUCGCACCUACCGAUUGAAUGGUCCGGUGAAAUCUCGGGACGGCGGCUUGGUCGCUUGCGUCCGACUGCUGAAACUUGAUUAAACCAUAUCAUUUAGAGGAAGGUGAANUCGUAACA
Molecule: ribosomal RNA, 320 nt
Filed under: uncultured eukaryote
Lineage: Eukaryota
Description: partial 18S ribosomal RNA
Rfam family: Eukaryotic small subunit ribosomal RNA
Source: RNAcentral